AACGCUGGCGGUCUGCUUAACACAUGCAAGUCGAACGCAACCUUCGGGUUGAGUGGCGGACGGGUGAGUAACGCGUGAGAAUCUGCCUUGGGGUCGGGGACAACCACUGGAAACGGUGGCUAAUACCGGAUAAGCCUUUGGGUAAAAGAUUUAUUGCCCCAAGAGGAGCUCGCGUCUGAUUAGCUAGUUGGUGAGGUAAGAGCUCACCAAGGCAGCGAUCAGUAGCUGGUCUGAGAGGACGAUCAGCCACACUGGGACUGAGACACGGCCCAGACUCCUACGGGAGGCAGCAGUGGGGAAUUUUCCGCAAUGGGCGAAAGCCUGACGGAGCAAGACCGCGUGAGGGAGGAAGGCUCUUGGGUUGUAAACCUCUUUUCUCAGGGAAGAAGCUCUGACGGUACCUGAGGAAUCAGCCUCGGCUAACUCCGUGCCAGCAGCCGCGGUAAUACGGAGGAGGCAAGCGUUAUCCGGAAUUAUUGGGCGUAAAGCGUCCGCAGGUGGCGAUUCAAGUCUGCUGUCAAAGCACGGGGCUUAACUCCGUUAAGGCAGUGGAAACUGAAUAGCUAGAGUGCCGUAGGGGUAGAGGGAAUUCCCGGUGUAGCGGUGAAAUGCGUAGAGAUCGGGAAGAACAUCGGUGGCGAGAGCGCUCUACUGGACGGCAACUGACACUCAGGGACGAAAGCUAGGGGAGCGAAUGGGAUUAGAUACCCCAGUAGUCCUAGCUGUAAACGAUGGAUACUAGGUGUAGCUUGUAUCGACCCGAGCUGUGCCGAAGCUAACGCGUUAAGUAUCCCGCCUGGGGAGUACGCACGCAAGUGUGAAACUCAAAGGAAUUGACGGGGGCCCGCACAAGCGGUGGAGUAUGUGGUUUAAUUCGAUGCAACGCGAAGAACCUUACCAGGGCUUGACAUGUC
Molecule: ribosomal RNA, 914 nt
Filed under: uncultured organism
Description: bacterial SSU rRNA
Rfam family: Bacterial small subunit ribosomal RNA
Source: RNAcentral